CAAUAGCGUAUAUUUAAGUUGUUGCAGUUAAAAAGCUCGUAGUUGGAUUUCGGGUGGGACGCAGCGGUCUCGCAUUGCGUUUGUACUGCUGCAGCCCUCCUUCUUGCCGGGGGCGGCCUCCCGGACUUCACUGUCUGGGGGUCAGAAUCGGCGAUGUUACUUUGAGUAAAUUAGAGUGUUCAAAGCAAGCUUACGCUCUGAAUAUAAUAGCAUGGGAUAACACGACAGGACUCUGGCCUAUCGUGUUGGUCUAUAGGACCAGAGUAAUGAUUAAGGGGGACAGUCGGGGGCAUUCGUAUUCCGUUGUCAGAGGUGAAAUUCUUGGAUUUACGGAAGACGAACAUCUGCGAAAGCAUUUGCCAAGGAUGUUUUCAUUG
Molecule: ribosomal RNA, 377 nt
Filed under: uncultured eukaryote
Lineage: Eukaryota
Description: partial 18S ribosomal RNA
Rfam family: Eukaryotic small subunit ribosomal RNA
Source: RNAcentral